This is a long non-coding RNA of Eriocheir sinensis (Chinese mitten crab), 1262 nucleotides long. RefSeq lists it as uncharacterized. The record is from RefSeq and is a predicted model, not a curated record. Lineage: Eukaryota; Metazoa; Arthropoda; Malacostraca; Decapoda; Varunidae. The transcript has 4 exons.
GGGGCAAGGGGAAAAUAGGUUAGGGGAAGGGCGCUGUUAGGAGAUACAGAAGAGGAGGACUACAUGGACUAGCAAGCAGCAGAAAGCCUGUUGGCUCAUUACUAGGCUGCCUGCGUUCAGUGAUUUAAUCAAUCCGUUUGCCAUAGGAGUGGCUUGCAGGGAAGGAUUAAAGCACUUGUGUAUCUACUCUUGGGAACGUUCAGUUCACUCCUGAUGCAGCAAAGUGGCGAUCAAUGCGUUUCUUGAAGGAGUUGAUGGUCUCUGCGCUAACCACUUCUGCAGGAAGGCUGUUCCAGUGGCUAACAACUCUAUUCGAGAAAUAACUCCUGUCGAUGUCGGUAUUGCAUCGCUUUGCUUGAACUGUUUUUCCGUUGUUUCUUGUUCUCAGGUUAGUUUGUAGCGUGAAGAGCUUGGAGGAGGAGGAGGAGGAGAAGGAGAGCUGGUAGGAGUAAAGGCCAUCAAGUUAGGGGGACUGAUAUGGGCAUGUUAGGAGGAGGAGGGAGGGCCAUGUACUCAGAAGUGGAGGAAGAAGGAAGGAGAAGACCUAGAGACUGUGUGUGUAGGAAGACAUGAGGUUAACGAACACCAGGGAGGAGAGAGUAUACGAUUGUCAAGAGUGGGAGAGACUCAUAGCCCGGCCAACACCAUAAAGUAAAAUAAGGAAACUAAACGAAGAAGAAAAAGAAGACAAGGUAAAAAGAUAUUUGAGAGGGAUGGAGGACAAGGUUAGGGGAAGAGAGAAUAGCAGGUUAAGGAAGAAAGGAAUAUUAUUAGGCUUUCAAUAGCAGGUUAAGGAAGAAAGGAAUAUUAUUAGGCUUUCAAUAGCAGGUUAAGGAAGAAAGGAAUAUUAUUAGGCUUUCAAUAGCAGGUUAAGGAAGAAAGGAAUAUUAUUAGGCUUUCAAUAGCAGGUUAAGGAAGAAAGGAAUAUUAUUAGGCUUUCAAUAGCAGGUUAAGGAAGAAAGGAAUAUUAUUAGGCUUUCAAUAGCAGGUUAAGGAAGAAAGGAAUAUUAUUAGGCUUUCAAUAGCAGGUUAAGGAAGAAAGGAAUAUUAUUAGGCUUUCAAUAGCAGGUUAAGGAAGAAAGGAAUAUUAUUAGGCUUUCAAUAGCAGGUUAAGGAAGAAAGGAAUAUUAUUAGGCUUUCAAUAGCAGGUUAAGGAAGAAAGGAAUAUUAUUAGGCUUUCAAUAGCAGGUUAAGGAAGAAAGGAAUAUUAUUAGGCUUUCAAUAGCAGGUUAAGGAAGAAAGGAAUAUUAUUAGGCUUUCAA